RNAcentral lists this ribosomal RNA (497 nucleotides) under uncultured bacterium. RNAcentral's name for it is "partial 16S ribosomal RNA". It matches the Rfam family "Bacterial small subunit ribosomal RNA", at positions 28 to 507 of the family's 1533-position model. The record is from RNAcentral.
GAUGAACGCGGUCGGCGUGCCUAAUACAUGCAAGUCGAGCGAACAGACGAGGAGCUUGCUCCUCUGACGUUAGCGUCGGACGGGUGAGUAACACGUGGAUAACCUCCCUAUAAUACUGGGAUAACUUCGGGAAACCGGAGCUAAUACCGGAUAAUAUAUUGAACCGCAUGGUUCAAUAGUGUAAGACGGUUUUGCUGUCACUUAUAGAUGGAUCCGCGCCGCAUUAGCUAGUUGGUAAGGUAACGGCUUACCAAGGCAACGAUGCGUAGCCGACCUGAGAGGGUGAUCGGCCACAUGGGAACUGAGACACGGUCCAGACUCCUACGGGAGGCAGCAGUAGGGAAUCUUUCGCAAUGGGAGAAAGCCUGACGGAGCACCGCCGCGUGAGUGAUGAAGGUCUUCGGAUCGUAAAACUCUGUUAUUAGGGAAGAACAAAUGUGUAAGUAACUAUGCACGUCUUGACGGUACCUAAUCAGAAAGCCACGGCUAACUACGUG